GAAGAGUGGUGACCAUUUGCUUAAGUCAGCAAUGGAAAUAAAUGGAACUGGCAAGCGUUGUUUAGAGGAGAGGUGAGCAAGAAUCUUCCCAGUCCGACCAGGUUUACCUAUUUCAGCAGAGAAGAGAAAAUACAGUUAAAAGGUGUUUACAAGCCAAGUCAACCCUGUGAUUUGCUACUUGUGUUCAUUUUUUGCUUGAGAGGCACACACCUAUAGCAGACUUUAAGUCGGCAUUCCACAGCCAUGAAGAAAUUUCUUGUUUGUAAACCAAAGAGGAAGAAUUAUAAGCCAGACACUUACAUCACCUGACAGAUGUGUUUCUCAAUCACGACAGAACCUAAAUUGGAGGACUGUCUCGUCUAAGCACAGAUCAAACGGCCUACGAGCAGCCACACCAACGUAAAAAAAACACACCAAUGGCCUCUGCUCCCUUAUUCUUUUUCCCAGGGUCACCAACUUACACAACGAUGACUACUGUUUCUGGGGCUUAAGCAAUCAGUCUGCCUCACAACAUCCUACCCGAAGGGGCCCACUAAAAGAUUUUAUAGGAGAAUUUAUUCUCCACAAGAACUUUUCCAGAUUCUGUCAGCAAUGAAAGAUGUGUGUGUAUAAAAUAUGAAGUUAAUAAAGGUUGCAUUAUUUAAAGGGGAGAUCUCUUUCCUCAUAAAAUACUAAUUUCUGCAUUAACAAGCAUGCAAAAGUUGAGUAAAUUAAUCAUGUCCUUAAACAUAAGCCAACAGUCCCACCCUCUGCUUUGCCCUGUGCUGCACUACCUUACGUUCAAGAGACAUCAACUUGAUUUAUUCA
Podarcis raffonei (Aeolian wall lizard) is the source of this 807-nucleotide long non-coding RNA. RefSeq lists it as uncharacterized. The transcript has 3 exons. The record is from RefSeq and is a predicted model, not a curated record. NCBI's taxonomy places the organism in Eukaryota, Metazoa, Chordata, Lepidosauria, Squamata, Lacertidae.